RNAcentral lists this ribosomal RNA (440 nucleotides) under uncultured bacterium. RNAcentral's name for it is "partial 16S ribosomal RNA". It matches the Rfam family "Bacterial small subunit ribosomal RNA", at positions 338 to 795 of the family's 1533-position model. The record is from RNAcentral.
CCUACGGGAGGCAGCAGUGGGGAAUAUUGCACAAUGGGGGAAACCCUGAUGCAGCGACGCCGCGUGAGUGAAGAAGUAUUUCGGUAUGUAAAGCUCUAUCAGCAGGGAAGAUAAUGACGGUACCUGAGUAAGAAGCCCCGGCUAACUACGUGCCAGCAGCCGCGGUAAUACGUAGGGGGCAAGCGUUAUCCGGAUUUACUGGGUGUAAAGGGAGCGUAGACGGCAUGGCAAGUCUGAAGUGAAAGCCCGGGGCUCAACCGCGGGACUGCUUUGGAAACUGUUAAGCUGGAGUGCAGGAGAGGUAAGUGGAAUUCCUAGUGUAGCGGUGAAAUGCGUAGAUAUUAGGAGGAACACCAGUGGCGAAGGCGGCUUACUGGACUGUAACUGACGUUGAGGCUCGAAAGCGUGGGGAGCAAACAGGAUUAGAUACCCCAGUAGUC